This is a transfer RNA of Gaeumannomyces graminis, 72 nucleotides long. It matches the Rfam family "tRNA". From Rfam's summary of the family: Transfer RNA (tRNA) molecules are approximately 80 nucleotides in length. Their secondary structure includes four short double-helical elements and three loops (D, anti-codon, and T loops). Lineage: Eukaryota; Fungi; Ascomycota; Sordariomycetes; Magnaporthales; Magnaporthaceae. The record is from Rfam.
GGUCGUAUAGCGCAAUGGUAACGCGUUCGCUUUUGUAGCGGAAAGUCUUAAGUUUAACUCCCGGUACGACUU